This 522-nucleotide long non-coding RNA is filed under the name Callithrix jacchus (white-tufted-ear marmoset). RNAcentral describes it as "lncRNA (ENSCJAG00000071622.1)". The record is from RNAcentral. Lineage: Eukaryota; Metazoa; Chordata; Mammalia; Primates; Cebidae.
AUGCCUGGACUGUACCUUGGUCUUACAGAAUCGGACUCUCUGGGGGUACAGCCUGAGAAUCUGCACUUUCCAGAAGCUUCCAAGGUGAUCUUUGUGAGAACCACCAAGCAAGAAUUAAGAAGACUUGUAGAUCCCUGUUGUGUUCCAGGAGAAGAUACUAUCUCUGUCUUCCAAGGCUGUUUGCUAAAAAGUAUCUUUGAAAAGAUAACCUACAACAAAAAGUCAGUGUUCCUGCUCAGGAGAUGUGCGGAAAUAUGAGAGAACCAUGGAGAAUUGCCUGUCAAGAGCAUGUGGUAAGAACUGUUAUUAUUCCUAUGGAAAAAUGAACUCAUACUACAUAACUUUCUUCUGGUGACUUUAAAAUUGAUAGAAAUUAGAGCAAAUCAGGACAUGGACUAAGGUUACAAAGACUAAUGGCAAGUCAAGGAAUUUGAGUUAACAUUAGGUGACUAGACUCUCAAAUGUGUUUCACAAGUGGGUUUCCAGAAAAACUGCUGUCAGCAAUUGAUUAUGAGAUUGGGC